This 29-nucleotide non-coding RNA is filed under the name Mus musculus (house mouse). The record is from RNAcentral. Lineage: Eukaryota; Metazoa; Chordata; Mammalia; Rodentia; Muridae.
UCCACACCAAAUGACCGACCGACUGAUAG